GAUAUUGCCGGAAAAGCCGUGUUGUAAAGGCUGCGUCUGUUGUGCUGCGUCUGGAGGGGCAGCUUUGCGGCUUAGCAUGUCGGUUUUCUACAAAUACCAUUUCUACUGCAGAAAUGCCUCGGGUGCGUGUGGAGUCCAAAAUAGAACGUCUAGACAAACUCCUACUGUCUGACCUUUGAUGUGCUUCCUCAUCCACCCGGCCGUGCCAAGCAGAUCGGCCCUUGAGAGGUGAUGAAAAACCUGCUAAAUAGCACAGAGAAGCCCCUCCUGUGGGGUUCGUGGCAUUCACCCGAGGAGCUCACUCGGGCCACACUGUCGGCCCACAGAGGGGAAGCCAAGGGAAGAGUCUAAUGACUCACCUCAGGCCUCAGAGUGAGCUGCACCAGGCGUUCCCACCACUAAGUCCACAGUCUCUUCAGGUUCUGCCUGACGCUCUCAACUAUGGUUCUCUUAAUAAAGAAUUUCUGUGGAGAAAA
Molecule: long non-coding RNA, 476 nt
Organism: Sapajus apella (tufted capuchin)
Lineage: Eukaryota; Metazoa; Chordata; Mammalia; Primates; Cebidae
Exons: 2
Source: RefSeq, a predicted model, not a curated record